GUUUUUCUUUUUCUUUUUGCCUUUGUUAUUUCUCGGUUGCAAGUUAGUUUUCAAAAACCCCAAAACCAAAAAAAUAGAAGAAGCUUUGCUUCGCUCUUUUUCUUCAGUUUAGCCCCUUGGAAUUCAUUUACAUUUUAAAUUUAGAGGAUUUGAUCUCAGCCAGGAUAACGAGGAAUGCAAGAUUAUGGAAGAGAAGAGUGUAAAAUCACAACCAUAAAGGUUUGUACUACUACCCCCG
RNAcentral lists this long non-coding RNA (238 nucleotides) under Hordeum vulgare. Its description in RNAcentral is "long non-coding RNA (HVUL_LNC020278)". The record is from RNAcentral. Lineage: Eukaryota; Viridiplantae; Streptophyta; Magnoliopsida; Poales; Poaceae.